AUUGAACGCUGGCGGCAUGCUUUACACAUGCAAGUCGAACGGCAGCGCGGGCUUCGGCCUGGCGGCGAGUGGCGAACGGGUGAGUAAUGCAUCGGAACGUGCCCAGUAGUGGGGGAUAGCCCGGCGAAAGCCGGGUUAAUACCGCAUACGACCUGAGGGUGAAAGCGGGGGACCGAAAGGCCUCGCGCUAUUGGAGCGGCCGAUGUCGGAUUAGCUAGUUGGUGGGGUAAAGGCUUACCAAGGCGACGAUCCGUAGCUGGUCUGAGAGGACGACCAGCCACACUGGGACUGAGACACGGCCCAGACUCCUACGGGAGGCAGCAGUGGGGAAUUUUGGACAAUGGGGGCAACCCUGAUCCAGCCAUGCCGCGUGCGGGAAGAAGGCCUUCGGGUUGUAAACCGCUUUUGUUCGGGAAGAAAUCCUCUGGGCUAAUACCCCGGGGGGAUGACGGAACCGGAAGAAUAAGCACCGGCUAACUACGUG
RNAcentral lists this ribosomal RNA (484 nucleotides) under uncultured bacterium. Its description in RNAcentral is "partial 16S ribosomal RNA". It matches the Rfam family "Bacterial small subunit ribosomal RNA", at positions 28 to 507 of the family's 1533-position model. The record is from RNAcentral.